Molecule: ribosomal RNA, 253 nt
Filed under: uncultured bacterium
Lineage: Bacteria
Description: partial 16S ribosomal RNA
Rfam family: Bacterial small subunit ribosomal RNA
Source: RNAcentral
UACAGAGGUCUCGAGCGUUGUUCGGAUUCACUGGGCGUAAAGGGUGCGUAGGUGGCGCUGUAAGUCGGGUGUGAAAUCCUGAGGCUUAACCUCGGAACUGCAUUCGAUACUGCGGUGCUUGAGGACUGGAGAGGAGACUGGAAUUCAUGGUGUAGCAGUGAAAUGCGUAGAGAUCAUGAGGAAGACCAGUGGCGAAGGCGGGUCUCUGGACAGUUCCUGACACUGAGGCACGAAGGCCAGGGGAGCAAACGGG